RNAcentral lists this ribosomal RNA (243 nucleotides) under uncultured bacterium. RNAcentral's name for it is "partial 16S ribosomal RNA". It matches the Rfam family "Bacterial small subunit ribosomal RNA", at positions 90 to 334 of the family's 1533-position model. The record is from RNAcentral.
CGUGAGCGGCGGACGGGUGAGUAACGCGUGGGUAACCUGCCUCAUACAGGGGAUAACAGUUGGAAACGGCUGCUAAUACCGCAUAAGCGCACAGUACCGCAUGGUACGGUGUGAAAAACUCCGGUGGUAUGAGAUGGACCCGCGUCUGAUUAGGUAGUUGGUGGGGUAACGGCCUACCAAGCCGACGAUCAGUAGCCGACCUGAGAGGGUGACCGGCCACAUUGGGACUGAGACACGGCCCAA